UACGGGGGGGGCAAGCGUUGUUCGGAAUUACUGGGCGUAAAGGGCUCGUAGGUGGUCAACUAAGUCAUACGUGAAAUCCCUCGGCUUAACCGGGGAACUGCGCCUGAUACUGGUUGACUUGAGUUUGGGAGAGGGACGCGGAAUUCCAGGUGUAGCGGUGAAAUGCGUAGAUAUUGGGAGGAACACCGGUGGCGAAGGCGGCCAUCUGGGAGGGCACUGACGCUGAGACGCGAAAGCGUGGGGAGCAAACAGG
This 253-nucleotide ribosomal RNA is filed under the name uncultured bacterium. RNAcentral describes it as "partial 16S ribosomal RNA". It matches the Rfam family "Bacterial small subunit ribosomal RNA", at positions 524 to 776 of the family's 1533-position model. The record is from RNAcentral.